UUAUUUUUAUUUUUUUUUAUAUUUCAUUAUUAUUACAAUUAAAAUCGUUAUUAUUACUAUUAUUUCAUAUCGCAUAUUAAUAUUUAAUGAUUAAUGUAUCUUAUAAAUCUGUUGAUUUAUUUACAAAUGAUGGCGAAAUAAGCAAAAAUUAAAAUGCCUGAUUAUCAUGUAAGAUAUUUGGACAUUGCAAUGAGAUGGUGA
Molecule: unclassified non-coding RNA, 201 nt
Filed under: Hevea brasiliensis (rubber tree)
Lineage: Eukaryota; Viridiplantae; Streptophyta; Magnoliopsida; Malpighiales; Euphorbiaceae
Source: RNAcentral